Molecule: long non-coding RNA, 284 nt
Filed under: Elaeis guineensis (African oil palm)
Lineage: Eukaryota; Viridiplantae; Streptophyta; Magnoliopsida; Arecales; Arecaceae
Description: long non-coding RNA (EGUI_LNC056653)
Source: RNAcentral
CCUUCUCGAGACCUCUCAUCAUCUUCCCUUCUUGUUUUUUUAUAUCUUGCAAAGAAUUUUGUUGCUUGAGGAGUGAUCCAUGGAUAAUGAGAAGGUGGGUCAAGGUUUUCCUAACCAAGCUUCGAUGGGGUCAAGUGAAACUCCAUCUGAGAUCGCUUUAGGCCUAGAUGUUGAAAAAGCAACCUGAUAGAAGUUGACCUCAAGUGGAUCCAAGCUGAGUUCCACAUUCGUCAAGACUUUAUCUUGGAUUUGCUCAGUCAUUCUGGUCGCGUGACAUUGCCUUG